Molecule: ribosomal RNA, 253 nt
Filed under: uncultured bacterium
Lineage: Bacteria
Description: partial 16S ribosomal RNA
Rfam family: Bacterial small subunit ribosomal RNA
Source: RNAcentral
UACGUAGGGGGCAAGCGUUGUCCGGAUUUAUUGGGCGUAAAGAGCGUGUAGGCGGCCACACAGGUCAGCUGUGAAAACUCGAGGCUCAACCUCGAGACGUCGGUUGAAACCGUAUGGCUAGAGUCCGGAAGAGGAGAGUGGAAUUCCCGGUGUAGCGGUGAAAUGCGCAGAUAUCGGGAAGAACACCCGUGGCGAAGGCGGCAUCCUGGCCAUGUCCUGACGCUCAGGGGCGAAAGCGUGGGGAGCAAACCGG